This 357-nucleotide ribosomal RNA is filed under the name uncultured Actinomycetes bacterium. RNAcentral's name for it is "bacterial LSU rRNA". It matches the Rfam family "Bacterial large subunit ribosomal RNA", at positions 1402 to 1663 of the family's 2925-position model. Lineage: Bacteria; Bacillati; Actinomycetota; Actinomycetes. The record is from RNAcentral.
CCGACAGGCGUAGGCGAUGGACAACGGGUUGAUAUUCCCGUACCCGUGUGAACGCGCCCAUGGCGAACCUUGUGAUACUAACCGCCCGAAGCCCGGGUUCAGUCUUCGGACUGUUCCCGACGUGGAGCGCGGGACCUGAACUUGUAGUAGUCAAGCGAUGGGGUGACGCAGGAGGGUAGCUCCGCCAGUGAGUGGUAGUACUGGUGUAAGCGUGUAGGCCGUCUGGUAGGCAAAUCCGCCAGGCAUAUAGGCUGAGACGUGAUGCAUAGCCGAUUGAGGCGAAGUAGAGUGAUCCCAUGCUGCCGAGAAAAGCCUCUAGUGAGUGUUCAUGCGGCCCGUACCCCAAACCGACUCAGG